RNAcentral lists this ribosomal RNA (459 nucleotides) under uncultured bacterium. Its description in RNAcentral is "partial 16S ribosomal RNA". It matches the Rfam family "Bacterial small subunit ribosomal RNA", at positions 338 to 795 of the family's 1533-position model. The record is from RNAcentral.
CCUACGGGGGGCAGCAGUGAGGAAUAUUGGUCAAUGGCCGAAAGUCUGAACCAGCCAAGUCGCGUGAAGGACGACUGCCCUAUGGGUUGUAAACCUCUUUUAUAGGGGAAUAAUAAGUGCUACGUGUACCUUGGUGCAUGUACCUUAUGAAUAAGGAUCGGCUAACUCCGUGCCAGCAGCCGCGGUAAUACGGAGGAUCCGAGCGUUAUCCGGAUUUAUUGGGUUUAAAGGGAGCGUAGGCGGUUGUUUAAUUUAGUGGUAAAACGUCGGGCCUUCACCUUAAAUUGCCAUUAAUACUGGCAGACUUGAGUACAGACGAGGUAGGCGGAAUAAGUUAAGUAGCGGUGAAAUGCUUAGAUAUCACGAAGAACUCCGAUAGCGAAGGCAGCUUACUAGACUGCGACUGACGCUGAUGCACGAGAGUGUGGGUAGCGAACAGGAUUAGAUACCCGUGUAGUC